CUAGCUAUCACCCUUUUUCUUUUCCUAUCUCUUUGCGUCAUCACGGUUAAAAAUGGCAAAAGGGCAGAGUAUAUUGCUUUUCUCAGGCGUUACAUGGCCGUCUGUGGCAAGCAUUAAUUGCUUACCACCUCUAUUCCACCAUGUAUCAGCCAAACACGGGGUUUGAAGGAUCUUCAAAUUGCAUUACUCGACCUAGGCUGCACAUAGAAGAGGUGAUACCAUACUUAGCAGCAAGUGCUUCAGCCUAAUUGUUACUGCUGCGUUCAAUUGGGACUGAAUAAGCAAAAAUGAAAUCUCCAUUGUAUGAUCUCACAACAGCUCCCAUACCUUUUUGGUGUCAUUGAAGAAGCUCCCGUCAGUAUUGAGUUUUACCAUACUAGUGCAGGGUUCUUCCCAAGCAAUUGGCGUAUAUCUUACCAUGGGACAGAGUCUUUCCACUUUGUUGCAUAAGUUUGGCCAAUAUUCUUCUGUUGUAAAAGAAAGAAAUGCUUCUUGUAUCACUGCUUUGAUAUUUCAAGUGCACUGAGUAACCAUUUUGUAUUGAUAAAAUCUGCUUCUAUCUCCA
Molecule: long non-coding RNA, 565 nt
Organism: Lycium barbarum (goji berry)
Lineage: Eukaryota; Viridiplantae; Streptophyta; Magnoliopsida; Solanales; Solanaceae
Exons: 3
Source: RefSeq, a predicted model, not a curated record